GAUUAACGCUAGCGGGAGGCUUAACACAUGCAAGUCGAGGGGCAUCACGAGGUAGCAAUACUUUGGUGGCGACCGGCGCACGGGUGAGUAACACGUAUGCAACCUUCCCUGUACAGGGGGAUAACCCGGAGAAAUUCGGACUAAUACCCCAUGAUGAUAUUAUGGGGCAUCCUUUAAUAUUUAAAGCUCUGGCGGUACAGGAUGGGCAUGCGCGACAUUAGCUAGUUGGUAAGGUAACGGCUUACCAAGGCGACGAUGUUUAGGGGACCUGAGAGGGUUGUCCCCCACACUGGUACUGAGACACGGACCAGACUCCUACGGGAGGCAGCAGUGAGGAAUAUUGGUCAAUGGGCGCAAGCCUGAACCAGCCAUCCCGCGUGAAGGAAGACGGCCUUAUGGGUUGUAAACUUCUUUACUACGCGAAUAGAGGUUAGUACGAGAUACUAAUAGGAAGGUAGUGUAGUAAAAAGCACCGGCUAACUCCGUG
Molecule: ribosomal RNA, 487 nt
Filed under: uncultured bacterium
Lineage: Bacteria
Description: bacterial SSU rRNA
Rfam family: Bacterial small subunit ribosomal RNA
Source: RNAcentral